GUGAGGAAUAUUGCUCAAUGGGGGAAACCCUGAAGCAGCAACGCCGCGUGGAGGAUGAAGGUUUUAGGAUUGUAAACUCCUUUUGUUAGAGAAGAUUAUGACGGUAUCUAACGAAUAAGCACCGGCUAACUCCGUGCCAGCAGCCGCGGUAAUACGGAGGGUGCAAGCGUUACUCGGAAUCACUGGGCGUAAAGAGUGCGUAGGCGGGGUAAUAAGUCAGAUGUGAAAUCCUGUAGCUUAACUACAGAACUGCAUUUGAAACUGUUACUCUGGAGUGUGGGAGAGGUAGGUGGAAUUCUUGGUGUAGGGGUAAAAUCCGUAGAGAUCAAGAGGAAUACUCAUUGCGAAGGCGACCUGCUGGAACAUUACUGACGCUGAUGCACGAAAGCGUGGGGAGCAAACAGG
Molecule: ribosomal RNA, 405 nt
Filed under: uncultured bacterium
Lineage: Bacteria
Description: bacterial SSU rRNA
Rfam family: Bacterial small subunit ribosomal RNA
Source: RNAcentral